GUCUAGGGCCAUAUCACGCUGAAAGCACCGGUUCUCGUUCGAUCACCGAAGUUAAGCAGCGUCGAGCCCGGUUAGUACUUGGGAGGGAGACCACCUGGGAAUACCGGGUGUCCUAGACA
Oppia nitens is the source of this 119-nucleotide ribosomal RNA. The record is from RefSeq and is a predicted model, not a curated record. Lineage: Eukaryota; Metazoa; Arthropoda; Arachnida; Sarcoptiformes; Oppiidae.